This is a non-coding RNA of Lonchura striata (white-rumped munia), 160 nucleotides long. The record is from RefSeq and is a predicted model, not a curated record. NCBI's taxonomy places the organism in Eukaryota, Metazoa, Chordata, Aves, Passeriformes, Estrildidae.
GACAUUUCCUAAUAUUGAAAUAGUUACAGUGGAACUGUUAUCCUGGAUGCAGGAGCUACAUUUGACCCAGAGUGACAAGGUGCUGUGGACCCACAUCCGCUACACAGGUGAAAGCACGGAAGGAGCAGCCGUGAACCUGACCGCGGAGUUCGGGCCCAUC